CCCCCCCAAAAAGAAGAAGCCAAAAUCUAACUUUUUUACUUCAGUUUUUUUCCCCUAAAAUUUGUUCCCCUUUCUCUACCCACUCCUCCUUCAUGGCCGCCGCCGAUCCCUUCAACCCUAUCCCUAGUCCCAAAAUCUCUGCCUACUACCAGACCAGAGCCGGCCACACCGCUGUCGCCACUGAAAAUUUUUUGGGUAGGGGGCCCCUUAAGUCUUGCGCCUAUCCAUCUUUUUUAUUUUAUCCUUAAUUGGAAUUUGGAUUUCCCUAAAGAGCUCUCUCUUCUGUGUUCCUUUUCUUCAAUUGCAGAAUAACGUUAAGAAACGUUUCAGAUAUUGCAAACACAUCUCAUGGACCUAUGCUUUUCUGGUAGAUAAACUUGGAGGAGGAGAACACAAAGGCCUUUCUUAUACUCAGUGAGAAUUAUACUCACAUUAAAGGAGGUACUAGUGCUGUAAAAAAGAGGGGUCAAGGAAAGAAGAUUGUUACAAGAAUGGUCCUUCCUUCAUUUUUACACCUUUUUGGAAAGAGAUGGUAGAUAAUUGGAAGGAGGGAGAUUGGGGGGACGUAAGUUUGAUAAAUAAGGGAGACAGAAAUAAGUCUGAAAUUUUCUCCACUACAGGUUCUUUAUCAAUGGCCAAGUACAGAUAUGAAAUGGAUGGUACUAGCAGAGAUGAAGAUGACAAAUCAAACAAUAACAAGGAGGUUGAAAACAGCUUGGAGGGUGACUCAGAGGAAGACUAAUAUAGAUCUUGUCAUAAUUCUAGUUGUUUAAGUUUAAAACAAGGUUUAAUUUCAGGAUUUUUUUGUAUAUUCUAUAUUUUAAAGUUUGAACUGAUAUGAAUUUUUAUCGUUUGAUGGAUCAA
Quercus robur (English oak) is the source of this 864-nucleotide long non-coding RNA. RefSeq lists it as uncharacterized. The record is from RefSeq and is a predicted model, not a curated record. NCBI's taxonomy places the organism in Eukaryota, Viridiplantae, Streptophyta, Magnoliopsida, Fagales, Fagaceae. The transcript has 6 exons.